Molecule: ribosomal RNA, 557 nt
Filed under: uncultured Bacillota bacterium
Lineage: Bacteria; Bacillati; Bacillota
Description: bacterial SSU rRNA
Rfam family: Bacterial small subunit ribosomal RNA
Source: RNAcentral
AGAUUUGAUCCUGGCUCAGGAUGAACGCUGGCGGCGUGCUUAACACAUGCAAGUCGAACGAGAUCUACGGAUAGAGGCUUCGGCCAAUUGAAGUAGAGGAAAGUGGCGGACGGGUGAGUAACGGUGAGGAACCUGCCUAGGAGUGGGGAAUAACAGUCCGAAAGGACUGCUAAUACCGCAUAAGCAGUUGGGUCGCAUGGCUCUGACUGCCAAAGAUUUAUCGCUCUUAGAUGGCCUCGCGUCGAUUAGCUAGUUGGUGAGGUAACGGCUCACCAAGGCGACGAUCAGUAGCCGGACUGAGAGUUGGCCGGCCACAUUGGGACUGAGACACGGCCCAGACUCCUACGGGAGGCAGCAGUGGGGAUAUUGGGCAAUGGGCGCAAGCCUGACCCAGCAACGCCGCGUGAAGGAAGAAGGCUUUCGGUUGUAAACUUCUUUUAACAGGGACGAAACAAAUGACGGUACCUGUUGAAUAAGCCACGGUAACUACGUGCCAGCAGCCGCGGUAAUACGUAGGUGGCAAGCGUUAUCCGGGAUUUACUGGUGUAAAGGGCGUG